This 57-nucleotide transfer RNA is filed under the name unidentified. RNAcentral describes it as "Spelaeomysis bottazzii tRNA-Thr". The record is from RNAcentral.
GCUUAAAUAGUUUAAUUUUAAAAUAUUAAUCUUGUAAAUUAAAGAUAAUUUUAAGUA